GACAUUUUUCAUUAAUUGAUACAAUAUUUCAUUAGUACAACUAAUAAGAUAUAAAAUACUAGAUAAGCAAUCGAAAUUUGAUUUGUCGAUAAGAUUUUUUGAGGAAAAGAUUAUGGACAUCAAAGGAUCAGUGAUCUUUAACUGGAGUUUUCAUACGCAAAUUUUUGAUAACUAAUUCAUAUGCAUUGUAUGCUGCCCUAUUCCUUGCAGUAGCUUUAUUUUGACUAGAUUUUCCCUUUGCAACAAAUUUUCCAUCGACAAUACAUUCAAAUUCUCCUGUUUCGUCCCAAUUAUCAACAAUAUUUAUCGUCAAUUUAUUCUUUUGACAAAGCUCCAUAAUUUUAGUAAUUGGUUGAAUUUCAAGUGUUUCUGGAGUUAUUAGUGGCUGCAACAUAUCUUUUAUCGCCUGCCAAGUUAUAUCGAUGGAGAAAUUACAGUCGAUAUAUAUUGCGCCAAUUAAGGCUUCAACUAUAUCUGCAAGAACUUUAGGGGGAUUAAUGCAACCUAAUGAAUUCAAUGGGUACUCCAACGUAGCACUUCUGAAUUCUUCUACUCUCAUCUCUUUAAAUAAAUGAUUUUGACAACGUAAAUGAUCUUGCAAAUUGUAUUUGAUGGCCACUCUAGCAAGUUUUUCAGUAUCCACAUUGACACUUCUCAAAUCUGUGAGAUCCUCUGAAGAUAAAUCAGAAUACGCAAAAUAAUGCUCUUUUGCUAUCAUUAGACCCAGAACCGAAUCACCUAAAUAUUCCAUUCGAUCAUUAGAUGCCCAAUUUUGUGGGACGGAAGGAUGAGUAAAAGCUUGAUGUAACAAGUCGGGAUUCUUAAAUUUGUAUCCUGUAAUUUCUUCUACUAGCCUCUCUCGUUGUUGAAAACUUUGUUCUUCCAUGGCUGUCCAUGAAGAAAAAGAAAAGGCAUAGACCAUAUGGGAAGUAUAGUCCAU
Molecule: unclassified non-coding RNA, 940 nt
Filed under: Hevea brasiliensis (rubber tree)
Lineage: Eukaryota; Viridiplantae; Streptophyta; Magnoliopsida; Malpighiales; Euphorbiaceae
Source: RNAcentral